RNAcentral lists this ribosomal RNA (122 nucleotides) under Billbuckia matutina. RNAcentral's name for it is "Donnellia matutina partial 5.8S ribosomal RNA". It matches the Rfam family "5.8S ribosomal RNA", at positions 34 to 154 of the family's 154-position model. Rfam says of the family: 5.8S ribosomal RNA (5.8S rRNA) is a component of the large subunit of the eukaryotic ribosome. It is transcribed by RNA polymerase I as part of the 45S precursor that also contains 18S and 28S rRNA. Lineage: Eukaryota; Viridiplantae; Streptophyta; Bryopsida; Hypnales; Sematophyllaceae. The record is from RNAcentral.
CGAUGAAGAACGCAGCGAAAUGCGAUACGUUAUGUGAAUUGCAGAAUUCCGCGAAUCAUCGAGUCUUUGAACGCAACUUGCGCCCGAGGCUUGUCCGAGGGCAUUUCCGCUAGAGCGUCACC